RNAcentral lists this transfer RNA (70 nucleotides) under Marmota monax (woodchuck). RNAcentral's name for it is "tRNA.Undet". Lineage: Eukaryota; Metazoa; Chordata; Mammalia; Rodentia; Sciuridae. The record is from RNAcentral.
GGGGUUGUGGCUCAGUGGUAGAGCUCUUGCUAACACACAUGAGGCACUGGAUUCGAUCCUCAGCACCACA